AGUGAACGCUGGCGGUAGGCCUAACACAUGCAAGUCGAACGGAAGCACAGUAAGAGCUUGCUCUUACGGGUGGCGAGUGGCGGACGGGUGAGGAAUAGAUCGGAAUCUACUUUUUCGGGGGGGAUAACGGAGGGAAACUUACACUAAUACCGCAUACGACCUACGGGUGAAAGCAGGGGAUCUUCGGGCCUUGCGCGAUUGAUUGAGCCGAUGUCGGGUUAGCUAGUUGGCGGGGUAAAGGCCCACCAAAGCGACGAUACGUAGCUGGUCUGAGAGGAUGGUCAGCCACACUGGGACCGAGACACGGGCCCGACCUCCACGGGGGGGAGCAGUUGGGGAUUUUGGCGAAUGGGCGCAAGCCUGAUCCAGCCAUACCGGGUGGGGGAAGGAGGCUUUCGGGUUGUAAAGCCCUUUUGUUGGGAAAGAAAAGAAGGAGGUUGAUACCCCGCUGUUCUUGCGGUACCCAAAGAAUAAGCACCCGCCAACUUCGUGC
This 493-nucleotide ribosomal RNA is filed under the name uncultured bacterium. RNAcentral describes it as "partial 16S ribosomal RNA". It matches the Rfam family "Bacterial small subunit ribosomal RNA", at positions 29 to 508 of the family's 1533-position model. The record is from RNAcentral.